Molecule: ribosomal RNA, 599 nt
Filed under: Escherichia coli
Lineage: Bacteria; Pseudomonadati; Pseudomonadota; Gammaproteobacteria; Enterobacterales; Enterobacteriaceae
Description: partial 23S ribosomal RNA
Rfam family: Bacterial large subunit ribosomal RNA
Source: RNAcentral
UAAUGUUUGAUGUUCUAACGUUGGCCCCUGAUCGGGGUUGCGGACAGUGUCUGGUGGGUAGUUUGACUGGGGCGGUCUCCUCCUAAAGAGUAACGGAGGAGCACGAAGGUUGGCUAAUCCUGGUCGGACAUCAGGAGGUUAGUGCAAUGGCAUAAGCCAGCUUGACUGCGAGCGUGACGGCGCGAGCAGGUGCGAAAGCAGGUCAUAGUGAUCCGGUGGUUCUGAAUGGAAGGGCCAUCGCUCAACGGAUAAAAGGUACUCCGGGGAUAACAGGCUGAUACCGCCCAAGAGUUCAUAUCGACGGCGGUGUUUGGCACCUCGAUGUCGGCUCAUCACAUCCUGGGGCUGAAGUAGGUCCCAAGGGUAUGGCUGUUCGCCAUUUAAAGUGGUACGCGAGCUGGGUUUAGAACGUCGUGAGACAGUUCGGUCCCUAUCUGCCGUGGGCGCUGGAGAACUGAGGGGGGCUGCUCCUAGUACGAGAGGACCGGAGUGGACGCAUCACUGGUGUUCGGGUUGUCAUGCCAAUGGCACUGCCCGGUAGCUAAAUGCGGAAGAGAUAAGUGCUGAAAGCAUCUAAGCACGAAACUUGCCCCGAGAUG